RNAcentral lists this ribosomal RNA (418 nucleotides) under uncultured prokaryote. RNAcentral's name for it is "bacterial SSU rRNA". It matches the Rfam family "Archaeal small subunit ribosomal RNA", at positions 455 to 873 of the family's 1478-position model. The record is from RNAcentral.
GUGUCAGCAGCCGCGGUAAUACCAGCUCUCCGAGUGGUGGGGACGUUUAUUGGGCCUGAAGCAUCCGUAGCCAGCUGAGCAAGUCCCCAGUUAAAUCCAGCGAUUUAAUCGUUGGACUGCUGGGGAUACUGUCCGGCUAGGGGGUGGGAGAGGCCGACGGUAUUCCCGGGGUAGGGGUGAAAUCCUAUAAUCCCGGGAGGACCACCAGUGGCGAAGGCUGUUGGCUAGAACAUGCCCGACGGUGAGGGAUGAAAGCUGGGGGAGCGAACCGGAUUAGAUACCCGGGUAGUCCCAGCUGUAAACGAUGCAGGCUAGGUGUUAGGGCGGCCACGUGCCGCUCUAGUGCCGCAGGGAAGCUGUUAAGCCUGCCGCCUGGGGAGUACGGCCGCAAGGCUGAAACUCAAAGGAAUUGGCGGGG